Long non-coding RNA from Sinocyclocheilus rhinocerous, 333 nucleotides. RefSeq lists it as uncharacterized. The transcript has 3 exons. NCBI's taxonomy places the organism in Eukaryota, Metazoa, Chordata, Actinopteri, Cypriniformes, Cyprinidae. The record is from RefSeq and is a predicted model, not a curated record.
UCUCCAUAUUCUACUAUGAAAACAGGAGAACCCAUCCAUGCUCUCCAGCAAGCUUGACGGACCGCGUCGAGGACAGUCUUUUGACUCCAAUAAGAGUUACGAAGAGAAGCAACUCAACAAUGAGUUGAAAAAAACUACUUUCCAUAAGACAGACGAGAACAAAGACAAGAUAUGUUCCUCCAAGAGAGAACAUGCUGCGAUUGUCUUCUCUCUGAAGAAUGAAGUCGGGGGGCUUGUGAAGGCAUUAAAAUUAUUUCAGGACAACCAGGUAAAGCUUUUGCAUAUUGAGUCACGUAAGUCCCGGCGGCGUAACUCCGAGUUGGAAGUACUGGU